AUGUCUGUGAAGAUGCGGACUACCUGCACCUGGACAGAAAGACCCUAUGAAGCUUUACUGUUCCCUGGGAUUGGCUUUGGGCCUUUCCUGCGCAGCUUAGGAGGAAGGCGAAGAAGGCCCCCUUCCGGGGGGGCCCGAGCCAUCAGUGAGAUACCACUCUGGAAGAGCUCGGAUUCUAACCUUGUGUCAGACCCGCGGGCCAAGGGACAGUCUCAGGUAGACAGUUUCUAUGGGGCGUAG
RNAcentral lists this ribosomal RNA (240 nucleotides) under Triticum aestivum (bread wheat). RNAcentral's name for it is "partial small subunit ribosomal RNA". It matches the Rfam family "Bacterial large subunit ribosomal RNA", at positions 2048 to 2284 of the family's 2925-position model. Lineage: Eukaryota; Viridiplantae; Streptophyta; Magnoliopsida; Poales; Poaceae. The record is from RNAcentral.